GGUACGCGGGCUCCGGUAUGUUCUUGAUAUAAGAAUAUAUUGACGAAAGUUUCAUUUUAAUAUCAGCGUGACGGUUUAGCCAUAUAUUGUCAAUUGCAUUUACGAUUGUAGUGCACCAUUUUCAGUGAUUUUACUGUUUUUUAUAGCC
This is a long non-coding RNA of Bufo bufo (common toad), 148 nucleotides long. RefSeq lists it as uncharacterized. The record is from RefSeq and is a predicted model, not a curated record. NCBI's taxonomy places the organism in Eukaryota, Metazoa, Chordata, Amphibia, Anura, Bufonidae. The transcript is spliced from 3 exons.